GAGUUUGAUCCUGGGUCAGGAUGAACACUGGCGGCGUGCUUAACACAUGCUAGUCGAACGGGGAACAUUUUUAUGGAAACUUCGGUGGAAAUAGAUUGUUCCUAGAGGCGGACGGGUGAUUAACACAUGGGUAACCUGCCUCACACUGGGGGAUAACUGUCUAAAAUGACUGCUAAUACCGGAUAACCGGACGGGGCCGCGUGGGACAAUGUGAAAAACUCCCGUGGUGUGAGAUGGACCCCCCUGGGAUUAUCUAGUUGGCAGGGCAGCGGCUUACCAAGGCGACGAUCCAUAGCCGGCCUGAGAGGGUGAUCGGCCUCAUUGGGACUGAGACACGGCCCAGUCUCCUACGGGAGGCAGCAGCGGGGAAUAUUGCACAAUGGGGGAAACCCUGAUGCAGUGACGCCGCGUGAAUGAAGAUGUAUCUCGGUAUGUAAACUUCUAUCAGCACGGGAAGAUAAUGACGGUACCUGAAAUAAGAAGCCCCGGCUAACUACGUGCCAGCAGCCGCGGUAAUACGUAGGGGGCAAGCGUUAUCCGGAUUUACUGGGUGUAAAGGGAGCGUAGACGGCUCAGCAAGUCUGUUGUGAAAGGCAGGGGCUUAACCCCUGGACUGCAUUGGAAACUGCUGUGCUUGAGUUCCGGAGGGGUAAGCGGAAUUCUUAGUGUAGCGGUGAAAUGCGUAGAUAUUAGGAGGAACCCCAGUGGGGAAGGCGGCUUACUGGACGGUAACUGACGUUGAGGCUGGAAAGCGUGGGGAGCAACCAGAAUUAGAUCCCCUGGUAGUCCACCCCGUAAACGAUGAAUGCUCGAUGACAGGGAGCAACAGCUCUCUGCGUGCCGCCGCAAAGGCAUUAAGUAUUCCACCUGGGGAGUGACGUUGCGCAAGAAUGAACACUUCAAAAGGAAUUGACGGGGACCCGCACAAGCGGUGGAGCAUGUAGGUUUAAUUCGAAGCAACGCGAAGAACCUUAUCCAAGUCUUGGACAUCGUUCUGACCGGUACUUAACCGUACCUUCUGUUUGGAGCAGGAGUGACAGGUGGUGCAUGGUUGUCGUCAGUUAGUGUCGAGAGAGGCUGGGUUAAGUCUCGCAACGAGCGCAAUCCUUAUCUUUAGUAGCCAGCGGUCAGGCCGGGCACUCUUGAGAGGCUACCAGGGAUUACGUGGAGGGAGGCGGGGAAGAGGUCAAAUCAUCAUGCCCCGUACGACUUGGUCUACGCACGUGUUACAAUGGGCAAACAAAGGGAAGCAAAUCCGGAUACCCGAGCAAAUCUCAAAAAUAAUGUCUCAGUUCGGAGCCUAGUAUGCAACCAGAGAACAAGAAGCUGGAAUCGUUAGUAAUCGCAGAUCAGAAUGAUGCGGUGAAUACGUUCCCGGCUCUUGUACUCACCGCCCGUCA
This 1400-nucleotide ribosomal RNA is filed under the name uncultured bacterium. RNAcentral's name for it is "16S ribosomal RNA". It matches the Rfam family "Bacterial small subunit ribosomal RNA". The record is from RNAcentral.